RNAcentral lists this transfer RNA (88 nucleotides) under Erythrotrichia foliiformis. RNAcentral's name for it is "tRNA-Ser". It matches the Rfam family "tRNA". Rfam says of the family: Transfer RNA (tRNA) molecules are approximately 80 nucleotides in length. Their secondary structure includes four short double-helical elements and three loops (D, anti-codon, and T loops). The record is from RNAcentral. Lineage: Eukaryota; Rhodophyta; Compsopogonophyceae; Erythropeltidales; Erythrotrichiaceae.
GGAGAGGUGGCCGAGUGGUUGAAGGCGGCAGAUUGCUAAUCUGUUGUGCGGUUUUUCCGUACCGAGGGUUCGAAUCCCUUCUUCUCCU